Molecule: ribosomal RNA, 632 nt
Filed under: Alteromonas sp.
Lineage: Bacteria; Pseudomonadati; Pseudomonadota; Gammaproteobacteria; Alteromonadales; Alteromonadaceae
Description: bacterial SSU rRNA
Rfam family: Bacterial small subunit ribosomal RNA
Source: RNAcentral
CCUGAUGCAGCCAUGCCGCGUGUGUGAAGAAGGCCUUCGGGUUGUAAAGCACUUUCAGUUGUGAGGAAAAGUUAGUAGUUAAUACCUGCUAGCCGUGACGUUAACAACAGAAGAAGCACCGGCUAACUCCGUGCCAGCAGCCGCGGUAAUACGGAGGGUGCGAGCGUUAAUCGGAAUUACUGGGCGUAAAGCGCACGCAGGCGGUUUGUUAAGCUAGAUGUGAAAGCCCCGGGCUCAACCUGGGAUGGUCAUUUAGAACUGGCAGACUAGAGUCUUGGAGAGGGGAGUGGAAUUCCAGGUGUAGCGGUGAAAUGCGUAGAUAUCUGGAGGAACAUCAGUGGCGAAGGCGACUCCCUGGCCAAAGACUGACGCUCAUGUGCGAAAGUGUGGGUAGCGAACAGGAUUAGAUACCCUGGUAGUCCACACCGUAAACGCUGUCUACUAGCUGUGUGUGUCUUUAAGACGUGCGUAGCGAAGCUAACGCGCUAAGUAGACCGCCUGGGGAGUACGGCCGCAAGGUUAAAACUCAAAUGAAUUGACGGGGGCCCGCACAAGCGGUGGAGCAUGUGGUUUAAUUCGAUGCAACGCGAAGAACCUUACCUACACUUGACAUGCAGAGAACUUUCUAGAGA